GAGGGGGAUACCCGGGAAACUGGGGAUAUACCCCAUAGACUAUGAAUGCUGGAAUGCUUUGUAGUUGAAAGGUCCGCCGCCAUAGGAUGGGUCUGCGGCCGAUUAGGUUGUUGUUGGGGUAACGGCCCAACAAGCCUGUAAUCGGUACGGGUUGUGGGAGCAAGAGCCCGGAGAUGGAUUCUGAGACACGAAUCCAGGCCCUACGGGGCGCAGCAGGCGCGAAAACUUUACAAUGCGGGAAACCGUGAUAAGGGAACUCCGAGUGCCCGUAAAAUCGGGCUGUCCAUCUGUUUAAAUAACAGGUGAAGAAAGGGCCGGGCAAGACCGGUGCCAGCCGCCGCGGUAAUACCGGCGGCUCGAGUGGUGGCCACUAUUACUGGGCUUAAAGCGUUCGUAGCUGGUCUGUUAAGUCUCUGGGGAAAUCUACUGGCUUAACCAAUAGGCGUCUCAGGGAUACUGGCAGACUAGGGACCGGGAGAGGUGAGAGGUACUCCAGGGGUAGGAGUGAAAUCCUGUAAUCCUUGGGGGACCAUCUGUGGCGAAGGCGUCUCACCAGAACGGCUCCGACAGUGAGGGACGAAAGCUGGGGGAGCAAACCGGAUUAGAUACCCGGGUAGUCCCAGCUGUAAACGAUGCGCGUUAGGUGUAUCGAUGACCACGAGUCAUCGAGGUGCCGAAGAGAAAUCGUGAAACGUGCCGCCUGGGAAGUACGGUCGCAAGGCUGAAACUUAAAGGAAUUGGCGGGGGAGCACCACAACAGGUGGAGCCUGCGGUUUAAUCGGACUCAACGCCGGAAAUCUCACCGGAUAAGACAGCUGGAUGAUAGUCGGGCUGAAGACUCUACUUGACUAGCUGAGAGGAGGUGCAUGGCCGUCGUCAGUUCGUACUGUGAAGCAUCCUGUUAAGUCAGGCAACGAGCGAGACCCACGCCAACAGUUGCCAGCUCGUCCUCCGGGAUGGUGGGGACACUGUUGGGACCGCCUCUGCUAAAGAGGAGGAAGGAAUGGGCAACGGUAGGUCAGCAUGCCCCGAAUUAUCCGGGCUACACGCGGGCUACAAUGGGUGGGACAAUGGGUAUCGACACCGAAAGGUGAAGGCAAUCUCCUAAACCCAUCCUUAGUUCGGAUUGUGGGCUGCAACUCGCCCACAUGA
RNAcentral lists this ribosomal RNA (1152 nucleotides) under uncultured euryarchaeote. RNAcentral describes it as "bacterial SSU rRNA". It matches the Rfam family "Archaeal small subunit ribosomal RNA", at positions 119 to 1279 of the family's 1478-position model. The record is from RNAcentral. Lineage: Archaea; Methanobacteriati; Methanobacteriota.